UACGUAGGGCGCAAGCGUUGUCCGGAAUUACUGGGCGUAAAGCGUGCGCAGGCGGUUGUGCAAGACAGAUGUGAAAUCCCCGGGCUUAACCUGGGAACUGCAUUUGUGACUGCACGGCUAGAGUGUGUCAGAGGGGGGUAGAAUUCCACGUGUAGCAGUGAAAUGCGUAGAGAUGUGGAGGAAUACCGAUGGCGAAGGCAGCCCCCUGGGAUAACACUGACGCUCAUGCACGAAAGCGUGGGGAGCAAACAGG
This 253-nucleotide ribosomal RNA is filed under the name uncultured bacterium. RNAcentral's name for it is "partial 16S ribosomal RNA". It matches the Rfam family "Bacterial small subunit ribosomal RNA", at positions 524 to 776 of the family's 1533-position model. The record is from RNAcentral.